Molecule: ribosomal RNA, 507 nt
Filed under: uncultured Glomeromycotina
Lineage: Eukaryota; Fungi; Glomeromycota
Description: partial small subunit ribosomal RNA
Rfam family: Eukaryotic small subunit ribosomal RNA
Source: RNAcentral
CCAAUAGCGUAUAUUAAAGUUGUUGCAGUUAAAAAGCUCGUAGUUGAAUUUCGGGAUUGACGUGAUGGUCAUGCCUUAAGGGGUAUGAACUGUUACUGUUGAUUUCUCACCUUCUGGAGAAACUUGAUGUCCUUUAUUGGGUGUCUUGCGGAUCCAGGACCUUUACCUUGAAAAAAUUAGAGUGUUUAAAGCAGGCAUUUUUGCUCGAAUACAUUAGCAUGGAAUAAUAGAAUAGGACGGCAUGGUUCUAUUUUGUUGGUUUCUAGGAUCACCGUAAUGAUUAAUAGGGAUAGUUGGGGGCAUUAGUAUUCAAUUGUCAGAGGUGAAAUUCUUGGAUUUAUUGAAGACUAACUACUGCGAAAGCAUUUGCCAAGGAUGUUUUCAUUAAUCAAGAGCGAAAGUUAGGGGAUCGAAGACGAUCAGAUACCGUCGUAGUCUUAACCAUAAACUAUGCCGACUAGGAAUCAGACGAUGUUAAUUUUUUAAUGACUCGUUUGGCACCUUACG